Molecule: ribosomal RNA, 497 nt
Filed under: uncultured bacterium
Lineage: Bacteria
Description: partial 16S ribosomal RNA
Rfam family: Bacterial small subunit ribosomal RNA
Source: RNAcentral
GAUGAACGCUGGCGGCGUGCCUAACACAUGCAAGUCGAGCGAAAAGACGCGGCGUUUGCUCCUCUGACGUUAGCGGCGGACGGGUGAGUGACACGUGGAUAACCUACAUAUAAGACUGAGAUAACUUCGGGAAACUGGAGCUUAUGGCGGAUAACCUGUAGCACCGCAUGGUUCAACAGUGAGAGUCGGUCUUGUUGUCACUUAUAGAUGGUUCUGGCCCGCCUUAGCUAGUUGGUGAUGUAGGGGUUUACGAAGGCUAGGAUGCGUAGCAGACCCGAGAGGGUGGUCGUCCACCCUGGAAGUGAGACACGGCCCAGACUCCUGCGGGGAGCAGCAGUAGGGAAUCUUCCGGGAGGGGCGAGAGCCGAACGGAGCAACGCCGCCGGAGUGAUGAAGGUCUUCGGAUGCGAGAACUCUGUUAUUAGGGAAGAAGAAAAGUGUAAUUAUCUGUGCACGUCUUGACGGUACCUAAUCAGAAAGCCACGGCUAACUACGUG